Molecule: ribosomal RNA, 430 nt
Filed under: uncultured Pseudomonadota bacterium
Lineage: Bacteria; Pseudomonadati; Pseudomonadota
Description: bacterial SSU rRNA
Rfam family: Bacterial small subunit ribosomal RNA
Source: RNAcentral
GCGAGAAAGUAUCUUCGGAUAUGAGUAGAGCGGCGGACGGGUGAGUAACGCGUAGGAAUCUACCUAGUAGAAGGGGAUAGCCCGGGGAAACCCGGAUUAAUACCGUAUACCUCCUUCGGGAGAAAGAAGGCCUCUCUUUGAAGCUUUCGCUACUAGAUGAGCCUGCGUAAGAUUAGCUUGUUGGUGAGGUAAAGGCUCACCAAGGCGACGAUCUUUAGCUGGUCUGAGAGGACGAUCAGCCACAUUGGGACUGAGACACGGCCCAGACUCCUACGGGAGGCAGCAGUGGGGAAUAUUGGACAAUGGGCGCAAGCCUGAUCCAGCCAUACCGCGUGUGUGAAGAAGGCCUUCGGGUUGUAAAGCACUUUAAGCAGGGAGAAAAAGUUAUAAGUUAAUACCUUAUAGCCUUGAUGUUACCUGCAGAAUAAGC